RNAcentral lists this ribosomal RNA (472 nucleotides) under uncultured bacterium. Its description in RNAcentral is "bacterial SSU rRNA". It matches the Rfam family "Bacterial small subunit ribosomal RNA", at positions 25 to 518 of the family's 1533-position model. The record is from RNAcentral.
CAGGACGAACGCUGGCGGCGUGCUUCAUACAUGCAAGUCGAACGAGAAGCUGACUUCGGUCAGUGGAAAGUGGCGGACGGGUGAGUAAAAUGUAGAGAAUCUGCCCUUAGCGGGGGACAACAGUUGGAAACGACUGCUAAUACCCCAUAUGAGCGUAGCUGAGAUGCUAUUCUUGAAAACUCCGGUGCUAGAGGAUGAGUCUGCAUCUGAUUAGCUAGUAGGCGGUGUAAUGGACCACCUAGGCGACGAUCAGUAGCUGGUUUGAGAGGAUGAUCAGCCACAAUGGGACUGAGACACGGCCCAUACUCCUACGGGAGGCAGCAGUAGGGAAUUUUGCGCAAUGGGGGAAACCCUGACGCCAGCAACGCCGCGUGAUUGAAGAAGCCCUUCGGGGUGUAAAGAUCUGUCAGUGGGGACGAAACUUGACGGUACCCACAGAGGAAGCAUCGGCUAACUCCGUGCCAGCCGCGGC